GAGCCAUUUCAACCAUUUUUCCAACACCUCCAUGGCCCAAGCUCAAGAGAAAACGGAUAGUGCGGGCUGCUAAUCUUGCCGAUUCUGGACAUUCAAUUUCAACAUCUUCACAUCAACAUUGCAAGGUGAAUAAUGCAGGUAUUUGGAAGCCUAAAAACCCACUUAUACUUUACAGGUAUUUAUGUUGGGAAAAAAGGAUGAGAAUUUUGGGAGGGUAUGUUUGUCUUUGUGUAAUAGUUAAAUGUUCAUAAGAGAUUACACAUGUUUAGAACCUUUACAAGAAAGGAAAACAAAAUUGCCUAUUUUAUGACAAAAUAAUUGGAAUUUGUUUUGUAUCUUUAGGCAAGGGUAUUCACCCCAAGAAUGAGUAAUCCACUGUUUCACGAGAAUAGCAAAAUUACACCUGAAGCACAUGUUAUUAUGCAUUUUAAAGGAUAAACUAAUAGUCCACUACAUUAGGUUUCAAGCUUUAUUUGCUAGUAUUGCUCCUAUCAUCUACUUAAUUGCUAAAAGAGUCCUGUCCUGUGGUAGAUUUUGUUUACUAGGUAUAGGCAGGCCAUCGAAAAUGUGAGCAAUUUUUCAGAAAAUAGUCAUUUUUGUAGACUUUUUUCUUGUAUGGUUGGAAACAUUCAUCACCACCAAAUACAGCAGUAUAAGGAAUCCGUUUGGACAUUGAUUGAUGUCCAAAGAGGAAGGGGAAGAGAUUGAUAAGACUGGUGUUGAGGUUUGUGGCAUUGAUCUGGUCAUGACCUAAGCAGGGGUGUCGAAGGUUAAGGCCGUCAAACAUAGAAAAGGUUUGAUUUGCGCCAAUUUUAGUAUCCUUUAACCUGCAUUAAGGGUGCACUUGUGGCAUUACAAUGAAGUCGACUACCACAAUGAAAGUUAAUUCAAAAUCAUAAGCCACUUCAAUUUUCACAAUGUUACUUAUUGUUGGUUAUUACUUUCUUAAAUGGGUUGUGGUGGACUUGAAAUUUUUUGCAGUAGUUCUUAUUGUCUGUGGACUUCAAAAGUGAUUGCAAUUUUGUUGUCUCUUAACUUUACAUUGGAAAAAAAUAAUAUUAACUUAAUCUUACAUAGAGGAUAAUGUUAAGACGAAUAAAGUGAUGUUAAGGGUGCUGAUCCAGUUGCUGGUGCAGAUGACCGUGUUAUUAUUAUUUCAUCUAAUGAGGUACAUGAUCUCCCUCUCUCUUAGCUUUAUAUGUAGCAUAGUUUUAGUUAGCGUGUUCUUCCAGCAAUUUGAGUUUCUGCAUUUUGUUUAAGGUUUAUGCCUUAAAUUUGAACAUCUUAAGUGUAUACUAAGGAUUAGUGAUGGCAACGGGGCGGGGUAAAUUGCCAUCCCUAAGGAUUAAGAUGGAGUUUGGCUUUAUGUGUUUUCCAAAAUGUCAUCGAAGCUGUUUCACUUGUAUGUCAUUUUUAGGGUCUUGAUGAUGAGAUGGGUUUACUUCUUUUGAUUCACUGUAUGUCCCCUCAAAUGUUACAAAAGCCUUAAUUACUUAACUAAAAUUAAAAAUCUGCACUUCUUAUCAGUGAUGCUAAUUUUUCUCAUACCAGUAGGCUAAAUCAAGCUUUCAGUUGCAAAAGCUGGAUUUGAGGGUUUUCAGAGUGUCCUAUAUGGCAUCGAAAGAGGAAUUGAAAAAAUAAAGCGACCUGACUUACCAAGACCUGCUGAAGAGGCUUUUGCUCUCGAGGCAGAGGAAGCUAAUCAAGAAGCAUAAUUUUGAUGUACACAAGUUCGUGGAAUUACAGAAGAAAUACAAAUUACCUAUGCACACGUGUCCCUCUCAAAAAGCAGAUGGGCAUAGUAGAAGAACCAGAGGAUCUUUUACCUGGCCAUUGAAACCAUGUAGUUGCUGCGGCUUCUUCAAUCUUACAUUUUAAAUAUAUUUAGUUUCGGAGUCAACCGAAAGCUCCCAUUUUCUUUGAGGGGGACUCAUAUUUCUUACAAUUUGUAUAUCCUGCAUCUCUUGAGAAGUCUUACUAUUUUUUAUAUAGGGAGUUGUACAAAGAGCCUACUGGAGAUGCAGAAUCUCAAGGAAAAUCAUCAGUGUGGAAAAAUUUGAAGUCUCUUGGAAAUAAUAUCAUUGUUGGCUGGAGGACACUUUUAACUUCUUCUCGAGAAGAUCACUGGAGAUUAGAAGUUCUCCAUUCCAGCAUUGAGGAGGCCGAUGGGUGGUUUUACUCACUACUUAGUUUGUGAUUUUUUUUUAUUUUUUAUUUUAUUUUGGGAAAAUGUAUUGAAUUUUUAGGUGUUUUAGAAUUUUGGAUCUGAAUUUUGUACAGAUAUUGUUACAUUUUGGAGUUCAAUUAAUAAUGAUUAUCGGAGUUAUUUGAUA
Molecule: long non-coding RNA, 2333 nt
Organism: Olea europaea var. sylvestris
Lineage: Eukaryota; Viridiplantae; Streptophyta; Magnoliopsida; Lamiales; Oleaceae
Exons: 3
Source: RefSeq, a predicted model, not a curated record